Molecule: long non-coding RNA, 334 nt
Organism: Sinocyclocheilus grahami
Lineage: Eukaryota; Metazoa; Chordata; Actinopteri; Cypriniformes; Cyprinidae
Exons: 3
Source: RefSeq, a predicted model, not a curated record
CUAUCCAUUAAAAAAAAGCCCGAAAAGUGUUCUACCGUUUGCCAGUGAUGGAGAAGAUCAUGAUUAAGAGCAACACCUGCAGCUUGUGAACGACUCAGGUACGUUGAAGAAUCCACACCGUCGUCUGUCAUCUCUUUUCCAUUCUCAGAGGGGUUUCCUGCACCUGCUUCCUUCCUUUGUGAUGCUAAUCAGCUAACGCAAGAGCUUGAGGUGGAAGCCAGCUCUUUAUGGAGUCCACACAGCAUUUCAUUAAAGCCUAUGUGGAGCCAGCCUCAGGGACAUGGCCACAUAAUUCAUUUGGAAGUACACUGUCUCCUGCAUCCCCUGUAUCCAU